GAUGAACGCUGGCGGCGUGCCUAAUACAUGCAAGUCGAGCGAACGGACGAGAAGCUUGCUUCUCUGAUGUUAGCGGCGGACGGGUGAGUAACACGUGGAUAACCUACCUAUAAGACUGGGAUAACUUCGGGAAACCGGAGCUAAUACCGGAUGAUAUUUUGAACCGCAUGGUUCAAAAGUGAAAGACGGUCUUGCUGUCACUUAUAGAUGGAUCCGCGCUGCAUUAGCUAGUUGGUAAGGUAACGGCUUACCAAGGCAACGAUGCAUAGCCGACCUGAGAGGGUGAUCGGCCACACUGGAACUGAGACACGGUCCAGACUCCUACGGGAGGCAGCAGUAGGGAAUCUUCCGCAAUGGGCGAAAGCCUGACGGAGCAACGCCGCGUGAGUGAUGAAGGUCUUCGGAUCGUAAAACUCUGUUAUUAGGGAAGAACAUAUGUGUAAGUAACUGUGCACAUCUUGACGGUACCUAAUCAGAAAGCCACGGCUAACUACGUGCCAGCAGCCGCGGUAAUACGUAGGUGGCAAGCGUUAUCCGGAAUUAUUGGGCGUAAAGCGCGCGUAGGCGGUUUUUUAAGUCUGAUGUGAAAGCCCACGGCUCAUUCGUGGAGGGUCAUUGGAAACUGGAAAACUUGAGUGCAGAAGAGGAAAGUGGAAUUCCAUGUGUAGCGGUGAAAUGCGCAGAGAUAUGGAGGAACACCAGUGGCGAAGGCGACUUUCUGGUCUGUAACUGACGCUGAUGUGCGAAAGCGUGGGGAUCAAACAGGAUUAGAUACCCUGGUAGUCCACGCCGUAAACGAUGAGUGCUAAGUGUUAGGGGGUUUCCGCCCCUUAGUGCUGCAGCUAACGCAUUAAGCACUCCGCCUGGGGAGUACGACCGCAAGGUUGAAACUCAAAGGAAUUGACGGGGACCCGCACAAGCGGUGGAGCAUGUGGUUUAAUUCGAAGCAACGCGAAGAACCUUACCAAAUCUUGACAUCCUUUGACAACUCUAGAGAUAGAGCCUUCCCCUUCGGGGGACAAAGUGACAGGUGGUGCAUGGUUGUCGUCAGCUCGUGUCGUGAGAUGUUGGGUUAAGUCCCGCAACGAGCGCAACCCUUAAGCUUAGUUGCCAUCAUUAAGUUGGGCACUCUAAGUUGACUGCCGGUGACAAACCGGAGGAAGGUGGGGAUGACGUCAAAUCAUCAUGCCCCUUAUGAUUUGGGCUACACACGUGCUACAAUGGACAAUACAAAGGGCAGCGAAACCGCGAGGUCAAGCAAAUCCCAUAAAGUUGUUCUCAGUUCGGAUUGUAGUCUGCAACUCGACUACAUGAAGCUGGAAUCGCUAGUAAUCGUAGAUCAGCAUGCUACGGUGAAUACGUUCCCGGGUCU
This 1372-nucleotide ribosomal RNA is filed under the name uncultured bacterium. Its description in RNAcentral is "bacterial SSU rRNA". It matches the Rfam family "Bacterial small subunit ribosomal RNA", at positions 28 to 1381 of the family's 1533-position model. The record is from RNAcentral.